CCAGAUUAACUAUAGCAAUUCAUGUCCAGGUGACUAUUACACACAUACUAAGGUCCUGAAACAUGUUAGUUCCUUAGAUGAUAGAAUGAAACUUUUCUAUGAUGCUGUAUUUAAGAUUCCUUGUUCUUUUCCUUUUGAGAUGGGGUGUCUUACAUGUCCUCAACUGGCCUCAAACUGUGCUGGUUAGUUUUGUCAACUUGACACAAGCUAGAGUCAUCUGGAAAGAAGGAACCUCAACUGAGAAAAUAUCCCAUCAGUUAGCCUGUAGUUCCUGCCUCCAGGUUCCUGCCUUGAGUGCCUGCUCUGACUUCCAUCGGUGAUGGAGUGUGAGCUGAGAGAGUGUUGCAGGGUUAAGGACUUGACCCUCGAUGCCCAUGGAAGCGGUGUUAGCUUUUCACCUUGGAAAGUUCCUCGGAGGACCUAACCCCACUGACAGAUACAGAACUGAGCAUCCUGGCCACAUUCUCAACUUUCUUCUCUGCCUACAGAACAGACAAAGCACCGAGGAGAUGCAUGUGUCUGUCCCUUUGCCUCCGAGAACCAGGAUUCAGGAUUAGUCAGUGGGGGCAGUGGGGCAGGGAGCGUGGCUGAGUCGGUGACAGUGGUGAGCAUGUUUUACCACUGGAUCUUGGAGGCUUAAUCUGCUUACUGACGAUUAGGCUGAUGCCACCCAAACAUUUCCUUCAGUCAUCCCAGGGCCUGAGUAAGGAGUUGGCAGCUCUUAUCACAUUAGUCAUCUUUGGUGAUGGUGGGGAAGGUACAGGAGAAGUCUGUGGGGCAGGAUGCUCUCCCCAUCCCUGCAUUGUGAUUAACACAACACAUUGCCAAACACCCCGUUUGUGCUAGAAACUAAUACUUGGUUUUAUAUAAAAAAAAAAAGAUGAGCUCUUAAAGAGAUCCAAGAAGAAGUAAAGGAAAGAAGAAAGCAAAGAGACAAGUGGAAAGAUCAGAAUGAAGUCCAUAAAAAUAUUAAUUUGUAGAGUAAUUGGUAUAGUUUUCCAUGUAUAGUGUCUAUAAUAAAAUAACUGAAGUUGCCUUUAGAGAAACAUCGGUCCUAAUAGGUAUGUUAAAAGCCCUUCCUGCCCUCAAAGAGUUUGACUUUGGACACUAGGCAGCAUAGCUGUAUGAUGAAAACCAUGAGUCCACGAUCAUCGGGGCAAAGGGUAACAUUUGGGUGUUUUUAGAAGCUGUUUACAUGCUUCCUUCCCUCUGAUGUCCCCUCAAGGUUUCAGCCUGCAGGUGAGUUGUGGGAGGGGCCUUGGCUGUGUGUGGUUGCAGAGAAAGAGGAUGUUCCUGCCCUGUCUUUCCAUCACACCCAUCACUACCCACAAACACGCUUGUCAUACCAUCUAGGUGGCUCCCUGAAGAUGCUGGAGGCAUACUCUUAUAGGGUGGGGACAAGAGGCUGAGAUACAAAAGAAAAAAAAAAUCAAAACAAUCAUCAGGUUUUCCCUCUGCUGCUUCCUUUCCCUAGUCCUAAAUACACGGACAUGGGAGGUUUUGCUUAAAUGUCUCAGAAGCAGAGUCUUCCCUUAAGACAAGAACCUGAAAAAGAUGACUAAGAAUGCAUGGGGAGAAUGAGGACUGGUCACCUGUGCUCCAAAUCGAUCAUCUAGUCAGAAGGGCCCUAAACCAAGGCUAGCAGAGACCAGAACAGCAGGCCUUCUGGGCCAACCAUUAGUUCUACUCCGUGGCUGCCCUUUGGUUGUAGCACAAUGGUGGCUUGACCCCUUGCCCAUCAGUAUCCUGGACUCACACGGCUCUGUGAUGCAGAAGGAGUACAUGUGUGACAUCACAUUGCUUUUCACACUGACCCACAUGACAUCUUCCUGCGUGUGAGUUUAAUGGGUCAUGAUUCCUGAGCAUCUCUGGGUGACUUUGGGAGGCUGGCCAUACUCAUUGUGAACCCACGGAGGCACGGCCGAGUUUUCUUCCUAAAGUUCUGGAUGACUCACUUUAAGUUCUCAAAGGGUCAGCAAGAUGGCUUAGCGGGUUAAGGCUCUUGCCUCCAAGCCCCGGGAGCUAGGUUCAAUGCCUGGAACUUACAUGGUGGCAGGAGAGAAUCAAUGCUCCCAAUUUGUCCUCUGACCUCCACAAGUGGGCUGUGGUGUGUAUUCGCUCCCCAACACAAGUACACACACACUACAUAAAAGAAUGUGUAAGUUCUCAGGUCUUUCCCCCAUUCUAUGAUAAUAUUUGUGUGUCCCUUUCCUAAAGAAAGAGAAUUGAGAAAGAACAAAUUGUUCCCCGUCUACACAGUGGCGACAACUCAUACCCUUGUAUCAAAUGAUCCACAGGACAUGCCAGUUGGUUUUAUCUGAAGACUAAUGCUGUUUCAAGCCCCAAAUAAGGAAUUUUGACACAAAGUGGAAAAUGAGGCAAGGGUAAGCAGAAUGCUGGUUGGAGUUUUUUCUGAAAUUUCUGCGGACUGGAGUUUGGAUUUAAAAUUUUCCACUCAUAACUUACAUUAUCAAUUUGUAAAACUAUGGCCACAAGUAUGUUGGGAAGGACGACCCUGUGACUUCUGAACAGUUACUUAACUACAGUGUGAUUUAAUCAAAGGUUCCAACAACCACAGGGGCAAAAGGCCAGGGAAGGAGCCGACUCAGACAGGCAGCGCUGUCUUUAGCAUGCAAUUAUUAUGCACGCGAGUCAAGGGCAUUGGUUGAAAUCAGA
Peromyscus maniculatus bairdii (prairie deer mouse) is the source of this 2676-nucleotide non-coding RNA. The record is from RefSeq and is a predicted model, not a curated record. NCBI's taxonomy places the organism in Eukaryota, Metazoa, Chordata, Mammalia, Rodentia, Cricetidae.